ACUCCUACGGGAGGCAGCAGUGGGGAAUUUUGGACAAUGGGGGCAACCCUGAUCCAGCCAUGCCGCGUGAGUGAAGAAGGCCUUCGGGUUGUAAAGCUCUUUCGGCCGGGAAGAAAUCGCACAGGCUAAUACCCUGUGUGGAUGACGGUACCGGAAUAAGAAGCACCGGCUAACUACGUGCCAGCAGCCGCGGUAAUACGUAGGGUGCGAGCGUUAAUCGGAAUUACUGGGCGUAAAGCGUGCGCAGGCGGUUUCGUAAGACAGAGGUGAAAUCCCCGGGCUCAACCUGGGAACUGCCUUUGUGACUGCGAGGCUAGAGUACGGCAGAGGGGGGUGGAAUUCCACGUGUAGCAGUGAAAUGCGUAGAGAUGUGGAGGAACACCGAUGGCGAAGGCAGCCCCCUGGGCCGAUACUGACGCUCAUGCACGAAAGCGUGGGUAGCAAACAGGAUUAGAUACCCUGGUAGUCCACGCCCUAAACGAUGUCAACUAGGUGUUGGGUGGGUAAAACCAUUUAGUACCGUAGCUAACGCGUGAAGUUGACCGCCUGGGGAGUACGGCCGCAAGGUUAAAACUCAAAGGAAUUGACGGA
This 591-nucleotide ribosomal RNA is filed under the name uncultured Dechloromonas sp. Its description in RNAcentral is "bacterial SSU rRNA". It matches the Rfam family "Bacterial small subunit ribosomal RNA", at positions 335 to 917 of the family's 1533-position model. The record is from RNAcentral. Lineage: Bacteria; Pseudomonadati; Pseudomonadota; Betaproteobacteria; Rhodocyclales; Azonexaceae.